Molecule: long non-coding RNA, 7750 nt
Organism: Heterocephalus glaber (naked mole-rat)
Lineage: Eukaryota; Metazoa; Chordata; Mammalia; Rodentia; Bathyergidae
Source: Ensembl
GGCAGCCGGGCAACUGAACCUUCUCCACGCCCAGGAAAGGGAGGCAUAUUUUCUGGAGAACUCUGGCCAGAAAGGCUCUGGGACCAGAGGCAGCAGGCACCCUGGAGUGUGGAGUGAGGCAGAAGGUAGAAAACAAGAAGCUGAAGCCCAAGUCCACCUACUGAAGCCUCUUUUUCCUGUUAAUGGACCUGAUUUGGAAUGAUCCUUCCCAGCUCUUGAUGAAUCUCUGCCAGAAGGAUUAUAGAAAUUGGUAUGACUCUUGGAGAAGGAGAUGUAGAAAAUCUGACUCUCCAGUCCAGUGGCCUGUGAAAAGCUCACUCAAUUAAAGAAAUGUCACCAUUUGCAUGAUUCAGAUCUGAAGGCGCUUCCUUUGCAGUGGAAAGAUAAGAGGCUCCUGUCACCUACAAGAGCACAGGAACAGACUUGACUAUUGCUGACAGUGACUCAUUUUGGGAUACAGAACAUAGUGGAGUAAAUAAGCUUACUGGAGUGAGACUACUGCAGGGAGGGUUGAGCUGUGACACUAUCGUCUUGUCUGCUUCUUAGGUGAGGAUAUGAGACCUAGGAAUUGCUGGAGCUUGUGUAUGAAGCAACCCUGUGGAAAGCAGAAGAAAAAAGAAAUGGAAUUCUUAGCUGCUGGAUCAGGCUUCAUCUAAAGUUGUGGGUACUAUGGACUUUUUAAUUGUGUGAGCCAAUAAGUGUCCUUUAUUAUUUAAAUGAGUUCCAUCUCUUGUAACAAAAUGAUUUCUAAUCAAUAGACUGGGAAAAACACUUGCAACUAAGUAUUCCUAGUACAUUAAAAAAUUCUUUAGUACAAAGAAUAUUCCUUACUGUAUAUAUUUCAUUAGCAUAUAAAUAAAUUUUAGAAUUAGUAAGAAAAAGAAUAACUCAAUAGAUAAAUGACAAAGAACACAAAGAAGGAAAGGAAAUGGCUUACAAGUAUAUGAAAUGUAUUCAAUCUUAUUUAUGAUUAAUUAUAAAUUGAAAUGACCUACCUCUUUUAAUAAUUGGAAUGAGGAAGAUAAAAAAGAAACCAUGCAGUGUUAGUAAACAAUAGGCAAACAUGUACUCUGUGUGGAGGCAGAAGAUAAUAAACUGGAGGUAAUUGGCAACAUCUAUCAAAAUUGUUGGUAAACAUAUCCUGUGACCAGGCAAAUUUCACUUCUAGGAAUUUACCCUACAGAUAAACUCCCAUGAGGAAGAAAAUAUAUUGGAUUCUACACUGUGUUCCAUUGGUUAAUUUGGUAAUUAAGCUCCUUUUUGUUCUUCUUCAAGUCUGACUAUUCCAAGUCCUUACAUUUCCAUAUGCUGAUAUUAAUGUAGUCACACCAACAUUCUUUUGGUUGAUGUUUGCAUACUAUCUUGAUCACAAAGAUAAUUUCUUUUCUUAAUUUUCCUCAUCUUUAACAUGGACUUUUGUUACAACCUGUUUCAUGUUGCUUUGUGGUUAGUUAUGUUGCCCUCUUCCCCUAACUAGAUCCCUCAGCUGCAGAGAGGAAGGAGAGGCCAGGAGUCCAGCAUCACACAAAGCUUGGCAUUUGUGGUAGGUUCUUUCUCUAAAAUAAAAUGUUGGUUGCAACACUAGAUUUCUCAAGGGGAAGCCAUGUGAAAGCGGACCGAAGACAUAGUGCUAUCGCUGGGAAGCAUAUAGCAUCUCAUCAAAGCAGACAAGGCAACAUUUUCAUUCAGCAAAGCAUAGGAAUGACAUUGAGAAGAGUGGCAAAUCCUUGGAGCAGGGAGUCAAAUCUGUGGUGGUCUCUUCUGUUUCCCCAGGGCCAGCCAGUAUCUAGCAAGAGUGUGUCAUAAAUGUAUAUUGAAGAAUUAAAUGACUUUCAGGGGGACAUUUCCUGUUUUCAACGUUUAACCUUUUGCAGAAGAGAUGCCGAGUAGAUCAACUGAGCACACAGAAGGUAUUUACAAGGCUUCCCACAUGUAACACAUCUUCAAUGAAUGGGAAGAGGGAAGAUGGUAGAAAUAUCUAAUCAUUUAAGAUGCUUUCUAGCCUUAUAAAAUAACAUGAGCAAAUUUGUCAUUUUGAUAACAUUUGGAUUCUGCCAAAUGAGGAACAAUUUCUCUGGAUUUGUGGGUUUUAAAAUGUGAGGCAAAGGAAGCAUGCUGUGGUCUACACAGUCUCCAGUAGGUGAUUGGAUCCAGGACCCCCACAAAUGCCCAAAUCCUCAGAUGCUUGAGGUCCUUAGAUAGAAAUGACAUAAUGUUUGUGUGUAACGUACACAUAUCCUCCCAUAUACUUUAGGUCAUCUCUAGAUUAUUUAUAAUACCUAAUAUAGUGCGAAAGCUAUGUAAAUAGUUGCUAUACUAUAUUAUUUAAGGAAUCAUGACAAGGGAAAGAGUCUGUAUAUGUUCAGUACUGAUGAUGAUUUUUGUUUCUAAAUAUUUUUCAGUCAGUGAUUGGUUGAAUAUGUGGAUUUGGAUACAGAGGGUCAACUGUACUCUUGUCACUGAGAGGGGAAUUUAUCAGACAAUAUGGUUGCAAUGGUCUGGUCCCAGUGUAAUGAUUAUACUUCUGAUCCUAAUUUCAAUUCCACAGGGCAUAAAAUCACCAAUAGUAAAGUAUACUGCUUCCCAUCAGGGAUGUGGUAACAAUGUAGGUUCCUGUAUGCACAGUUAGUGUCACAUAGCUCUCACACUGGUGGAAAGGGCUUUUACCAUUGGAAGAGGAAAAUCCAAACAAGAUGGAAUAACCCUUUGAAGUUCACUUUAAUCGAAGGAUAUUUACAUAAUUCACUUUGGAUUGUACCUCUUUAAAUGGUUGUACUUCCUGUCUAUAUCCACACCUAAAAAGUGUCAGUCAUUUAUAGUCCUUUCUCAUGUUUUUAUUGGCAUUUUUAUUAUAAAACCAAAUAUAGUAAAAAUUUCUAAUCAAAAAAGAAAUGAAAAGUUACUGCAUCACUUUGGAUUUUAUCAGUACUGUCCACUACAGAGGAGUAGAUAAAUAGAUGGUAAACUUUUGAGGCUCUCAUUGAAUAUGUAAAUAUGAGAAUCUGCCACAGAAAAAAGUUCAAGUAUUACAGGGAAAGAAUGUCUAACUUAUAACGUUUAAUUUAUUAUAGCCAAAGUUUGUCCUGUUUUUUGUUUUGUUGUUGUCCACAUUAAAACUAUCAUAUUUAUAAACAUUUUAUUUCUUACACAGCAAAUCUUUCAAGAGAUAUGAAUAUAGUACUGCCACCUCCUGGAAAUAUAAAUAUUCAAUGAUAUAAUUUGCAAAAUUAUAUGAACAUAAUACAUGCAUGUUUGGCCAGUAUUUUUUUUCAGUACCUGGAAUCAAACUCAGGGCCUUGCACUUGCCAGGCAGGUGCAGCACCACUGAGCUACAUCCUCAGCCCCCCUGGCCAGUAUUUUUUAAUGAAAGAGCUUAAAGCUUUAAUUUUUGGGCUGGAUAAAGAUAAAAAGGUAUGAUGAUGAAAUCUUACUGUUUUCCAAAACUCAGGAGGCUAAAUGAUGUUUUAAAGACAUAGUCAAAGCUAAAAAACUAUUAAAAUCUUUAUAGCUAAGUGGUUAAAACCAUACAUUACAUUUCCCCUAAAAGCAUAUACAUUUAUCCAAGUGUUAACAAUAUUUUCAUAAAGAUCAAGAAUAUUAAAAAAAAAUUAACUAUUUAGUCAGAUCUCCAGUGUGUGGCUUCUGUCGCCAGUGACUCUGGCAUGUGCUGUGCCAUCUCAUCAGUAGGCCACUGGGAGAAAAGUGUUCUCGCCAACACUUCAGGAUACCUGUGUUAGUUUACCUCUCAGUUGAUGAAAGAAGAGAUUAAUUCUGAACGUGAUUACUUUAGUGCAGCCUGGCUUUCCCUGAAGCAUUAACAGGUCAUGGUGACAUGUCCUUUCAAUGUCACAUGGGACAAAACCCCCAGAGGAUUAGCUGGAGAAAUGAAAUUUGAUUCAGUAUUUAUUAAAGGUCCCAGACUUAGUGAAGUUACAUGUUAGUUUGGAGAUUUUGCCUGAUAAAGGAACAAUUUCUCUUCUGUGGAAAUGAUCCACAGAAGGUUUAUGUCCCCUUGGACAUUAGCCAGGUUUGUGUAUGACCUGGCAAUUGUGUCUUCACAUUGUCAAAAAUUCCCCAACUUUCCAGAUGUUCUUGGAGCCAGUUUUCAUCUCUUACUGUUAUUCUCAUUAAUGAACAUACUGAGUAAAAUCUUAUCAUGUAUUUAUUUGUACAAGAAUGCCAUGUCUUGUAACCUUUUGAAAAUUAAAUUGAUCAGUUCCAAAGGUCAUGCAUUGAAAUGUUUGAGGGGAUAACCCCCAUUUGCCUGCAAAUCUUUCCUUGACCUCUAGUUUGCACACGUUGAAUAAAUUAUUCUCUAUUAGUGGCAGCAGUGUCUGGGGAUUUGCUUUUAUGAUCUGACUAUUCAGUGAUCUCUAUUGGAUGAAUAGUGGGAGACUUGUUCUCUGUUGAGUGAGAAAUGACAGAGAAUCCUGUGUGGUUUUUAAUAGAGUUUGCUUUGUUUGGCUCAUUUGUUUAUACACAAUCUCAAAUCAAUUAAGAACUUAUAUAUUCAGUGGACAGGAACAUAACUCUGAAUUUUUUGACCUGCGGCUAAAUUUGUAGAUCUGAAGCUACAAGCUCACUAGGUGUCUUAUAUCUGUAAUUAAGAAAGGUCUUUAGCCCUCUGUAUAAGUAUGAAAUAUUUCCUAUCUCUAGAAGGUAUUAAUGAAUUAGAUUAUAAUAUUGUUUACGUUGAAAGAGCAUUGGUAUGGUUAGCUUAUAGAGAUGAUCAUUCAAAUGAUUAAUAAAUAAAUGUUUUCCAAAUUUAAACCAUACAGAAUGAACCUCUUGUAAUUCAAAUUGUGCUAGUCUUUUAAGAAAGAUGGUUGUUUUUCUAGAAAUCACUAUCUCAGAAACAUUUUGUGAAUCCAAGUUUACAUAGUGAAGGUGAGUCUUUGAACAAAUUAGCUGAUUUAAUAGUUUGAACAAUGGCUAUACACCUUUUCCCUGAGCUUAUCACUACAGGGCAUGAUACAAGCAUACAUUUAAUUUUUUUUUUUUUUUGGUACCAGAGAUUGAACUUGGGACCUUAUGCUUGCGAGGCAGGCGCCAGAACCACUGAGCUAAAUCUCCAGCCCCUGAUACAUUUAAUUUUUUAAAUUAAAAUUUAGGGCUUUUAAUCUCAGAAAAACACUAAUUUUAUUUCUUAAACUUGUUAUAUCAGUUUGUGAUCAAAUAAGAUAAAUAUUGCUAUGUUAAAGAUUACAAAAUCUUCAAUUUGUAUUCAACUAAAUUGAAUCAUGAUUUUGAACAAGUUUCUAGUAUCAUCAGUAAUAACUUAUAGUUUGUCAGAUUUAACUUAAUUUCCAAGAUCCUUAAAUAAUUUAAAGCUUAGAUUAAUAACACAGUAAGUCAUAAAUGAAUAAUUAUUAGAUAUUUAGAUAAUUUCCCAGUAAAAUAGACCAUUUAAGCAAUGACUAUUAAUCAUAUUUUUGGGUUUAUAUACUUUUGGUUCUUAUUUUUGCAUAUUAAACAUUAGCUCUAUCUUUGGGACACAUUAAUGAAUAAGUGUUCAUUUUUACCACUUUAACAAAGUUCAAAAGAGAUGUAUGGGGCUGUAGGAAGUUCUGUGUUUAUUCAUGAGCUUUUCUACCCUGCUACAAUUCUUUGCACUGACAUUUCUCAACUAUUUACCUUCUCAUUUCUCCAUAAAAAUGAAUUAUUAGCUUAGUUAAAAAUUAUAAUUAAUGUAGAUGAUGAAAACUAUGUCAGUAGUGGUAGAGAAAUUCAACUGUGUGCGUGGUUUUCUUUCCUAAGAAAAAAGACAAUGGUUGACCUACAACCAUUGACCUACAAGGAAGCGGCAUUGUUUCAGAACACAAAAGAGCAGAGGGAAAGAUAACCUUGUGUAACAAAUUGAGGCUGUGUAACAAGUUGUAGAGGGAAAGAAGAAGGGAAUUUUAUAUCCCUUGAUUUAUAACAUCUCCCUGAAGAGAAGUCAGUUGAAUGUCUUAUAAUUUUGGCAAAUUUCUAUCAGUUUUGAUGGCCCUUGGAUACAAGAUGACUUAAGGAAAAAUAAACUAGCUCACAAAACUUUAUUGACAAAUUUUACAGUACUACAAAGCUAGAAUUCUAUUUUUCCCUCUGUUAAAAUGAUGAAUUGGUCUCUGUGCCCUCAUGCAGUGGCAGUGAACAAAUUAUUUUUUACCUUUUGUGUAAUCUGUACAGAUAGAAAUUGCCAAGUCUCAGCAUAAUUUCGUUGUUUUGUAUCAAUUUUACUAUCCCCUUGAUUAUGUAAACAUUAAAUAAAAGCCAAGUUUUCUCAUUUGUGAAAGACCUGACUUUCUUAUAGUUGUAUUGCCUUCUUGUAUGUUUAUCUAAAAAUAUUUUACUGUCAUUUUGAUGAAAUAGGUAACCAAUUGUUGUUUCUAAGCACCCAUAGACUAUUGUCCAAAUCUUCUCUUAUAACCUGAUUUUGUCUCCAAGGAUCAGAUUCUAAAUUUAGAAAAGAAAUACUGUUUUUUUCCAGGAUGGUUUGUGUACUUAACAGCUAUCUUUGAGAAUUCCCAGAGAGACCUUGGAAGGUUACAAAGAUUUGUCAUUUCACUGUAUAAAAAGAGGGAGGCUGGAAACAAGUAAGUUUGUUUGGUGUUUUCCAUAUUUCUUAAUUAGCUCAGUAUUACAGAAAGAAUACCAUGGGAAAAUUUGUCAAACAGGAAAAGAUGUUGAGGUUUCCUGAGGUUAAAUCUGUAUGGGUAUAAUGCUACUAAUAUAAACAUUUCAGAUAUUGUACAUUUUCUAGAAAGGCUUUGAAGAUUUGUUAAUACGUUAAUGGCUGUAAUAUGUCCUUAUCUCCAAGGGAAAUAUUGAUCAAUUUUAAUGAAAUAGUUAUGUAGGGUGCCACAAAGAAGAAUUUUAUUUCUCCUCUUUUUUGAUUUUGUGUUGUAUGAAGGUAGUCAAUCAUUCAGUCUAUCAUUUCUGCUUUUACUGUAUGUCUGUCUAAGAUCAGAGCCUCUAGUGUCUGAGCCACAUAUAAAUAUGUUCCAGAUACUCUUAUUGCUGUCUGUAAAUAAUAGUCUUUUGGAAACAUGCUUUCUUGGCUGGUAUUUUUUAGGCUGUAUGGUAGACUGAGUCAGAAUUUCUGGAUUCCAAGAUUCCAAAGAUUCUUUUCAGUUCAAAUGUACUUUAUGGUAGCUUAGUUCUUGAUCUCAGUCAGGAAAUAAGACUUAAUUAUCCAAGAGGACCAAAUGAACUGAUGAGGAAAAAUGUUACUAUGUGUUAACUUCCCCAAGCAUUGGUGGAGCACACUUCUGGGUAUGUGUAGGUGGGUAAUGGAGGUGUGACUUUGGAUCCUAUAUCUGGUUCUUUGCCCCUUCCUCUCUGGUGCUGCUACCCUGCCCUUCUUCCUGACCCCAGUGAACUAUGCAUCUCUGCUCUGCCAAAUCCUUCAACCAUGAUGUUCCUGCCUUGGAGCCUGCCGACCAUGCAUUCAAUUCCCUGAAAUCAUGAGCUAAAUUAAAUCUCUCCUUUAAGUUUCAGGUGUUGGGUAUUGUAGCCUAACAACAGGAAAGCUGGCUAAUACAGAAAAUUGGUAGUUAAGAAAUGCAGUUGUGGCUGUGAUUGUACUUGACUAUGUGGUUUAGAAGCCUUCGGAACUGGAUUGUAGGAGGAGUUUGGUAAGGUUUGGAGAUGCAGGCUAGAGAAGCCUUUAGAUGCUGUAAGUAGAGCCUGAUGGGGCUCAGAAAAUCAGAAUACUGAUAGGGUGUAGAGGUUAAAGUACAGGCUAUGAGCAACCCAGCCCAAGAGAAAG